This 440-nucleotide ribosomal RNA is filed under the name uncultured bacterium. RNAcentral describes it as "partial 16S ribosomal RNA". It matches the Rfam family "Bacterial small subunit ribosomal RNA", at positions 339 to 795 of the family's 1533-position model. The record is from RNAcentral.
CUACGGGCUGCUGCAGCAGGGAAUAUUGCACAAUGGACGGAAGUCUGAUGCAGCGACGCCGCGUGGAUGAUGAAGGCCCUCGGGUUGUAAAAUCCUUUUCAGGGGGACGAGGAAGGACGGUACCCUUGGAAUAAGCGUCGGCUAACUACGUGCCAGCAGCCGCGGUAAGACGUAGGACGCAAGCGUUAUCCGGAUUUACUGGGCGUAAAGCGUCUGUAGGCGGAAUGGUAAGUUGGACGUGAAAGCUCCGGGCUCAACUCGGCGAGGUCGUUCAAUACUGCCAAACUAGAGGGCAUCAGAGGAGCGUGGAAUUUCCGGUGUAGCGGUAAAAUGCGCAGAUAUCGGAAGGAACACCAAUGGCGAAGGCAGCGCUCUGGGAUGAACCUGACGCUAAGAGACGAAAGCUAGGGGAGCGAACAGGAUUAGAUACCCGCGUAGUC